RNAcentral lists this ribosomal RNA (315 nucleotides) under Triticum aestivum (bread wheat). RNAcentral's name for it is "partial small subunit ribosomal RNA". The record is from RNAcentral. Lineage: Eukaryota; Viridiplantae; Streptophyta; Magnoliopsida; Poales; Poaceae.
AUGGCUCAUGCCGCCGACGCGAGGUCGCGCUGCGUCGUCGCGCUGCUCUUCGCCGUCGCCGUCUUCCUCGCCUGCUUGCCGCCCGCCGCCACCGCCUCCUCGUCUUCCCGGUCAGCGGCGGCGGCAUUGCAACGAGUCGAGAUGGCGGCCGUGUACACCCCGCAGGACCUGCAGGAGAAGCCGGAUGUGACCAAGGACGCCGAGGAGGACGUGAGCACGACGGGGUUCGGCGCGGAGGAGGAGAGGGAGGUGCCCACCGGGCCGGACCCCAUCCACCACCACGGCAGGGGACCCAGGCGCCGGCAGUCGCCCUGA